CCUACGAGUGGCAGCAGUGAGGAAUAUUGGUCAAUGGACGAAAGUCUGAACCAGCCAAGCCGCGUGAAGGAUGACGGUCCUAUGGGUUGUACACUUCUUUUAUAAAGGAAUAAAACGGGGCACGUGUGCCUUUUUGCAUUUACUUUACGACCAAGGAUCGGCUAAAUCCGUGCCAGGAGCGCCGGUAAUACGGAGGGUCCGAGCUUUAUCCGGAUUUAUUGGGUUUAAAGUGAACGUAGAUGGUGUGUUAAGUCAGUUGUGAAAGUUUUCGGUUCAACCGUAGAAUUGCAAUUGAUACUGGCAGUCUAGAGUGCAGUUGAGGUAAGUGGAAUUCGUGGUGUAGCGGUGAAAUGCUUAGAUAUCUCGAAGAACCCCGAUUGCGAAGGCAGCUUACUAGACUGUGACUGACAUUGAUGCGCGAAAGUGUGGGUAUCAAACAGGAUUAGAUACCCCUGUAGUC
This 460-nucleotide ribosomal RNA is filed under the name uncultured bacterium. RNAcentral describes it as "partial 16S ribosomal RNA". It matches the Rfam family "Bacterial small subunit ribosomal RNA", at positions 338 to 795 of the family's 1533-position model. The record is from RNAcentral.